Molecule: long non-coding RNA, 464 nt
Filed under: Mytilus galloprovincialis (Mediterranean mussel)
Lineage: Eukaryota; Metazoa; Mollusca; Bivalvia; Mytilida; Mytilidae
Source: RNAcentral
CGUAGUGUAACAUAUACUUGCUUUUUUUCUUCUGCUUUUAUACUUGGAUGGAGAGUUUUCACAAUGGCGAUCAUACCAGAUAAUUUUGUAUUGAAUAUGAAUAUACUUAAUUUUAACAACUAAAUAAAAAAAGGUUUGUACUUACAUUGGGGUAGACAUCACAGCUUUUCUUUUCUCUUUCUUUUCUUUUGUUGGGGUGUUGUUAGCUGAGCGUUGCCACUUUUUCUCCUUUCCUUUUUUUGGAAUACAACAUCUUUAUAUCAUCUUCGGGUAAUGUUAGUGCGUCCUCUCUAGUUCCAAUACGUAUAUCUGAUCCAAAAUUGUACUGGAUAUUGCCUUCUGAAUCUUUCAUUAAGCAUCCUGAUCCGAUAAAAUCAGGCAAAGCCGCAUCAUGCUUCCAUGCUGACAGUAAAUACUGUAUUUAGCAAUUGAUUAAUUUAAUAAAUUGAAGAAGUGCAUUUGUU